Molecule: ribosomal RNA, 468 nt
Filed under: uncultured bacterium
Lineage: Bacteria
Description: partial 16S ribosomal RNA
Rfam family: Bacterial small subunit ribosomal RNA
Source: RNAcentral
GACGAACGCUGGCGGCGUGCUUAACACAUGCAAGUCGAACGGACAGGCCCUGCUUUUGUGGGGUGCUCGAGUGGCGCACGGGUGAGUAACACGUGAGUAACCUGCCCUUGACUUUGGGGUAACUUCAGGAAACUGGGGCUCAUACCGCAUAGGAGCUCCUGCUGCAUGGUGGUGGUUGGAUAGUUUCGGCGGUUGGGGAUGUACUCGCGGCUUAUCAGCUUGUUGGUGGGGUAGUGGCUUACCAAGGCUUUGACGGGUAGCCUGCCUGAGAGGGUGACCGGCGACAUUGGGCCUGAGAGACGGCCCAGACUGCUACGGGAGGCAGCAGUGGGGAAGCUUGCACAAUGGGCGGAGGCCUGAUGCAGCAACGCCGCGUGCGGGAUAACGGCCUUCGGGGGGUAAACCGCUUGCGCAUGUGACGAAGCGUGAGUGACGGUAAUGGAUAAAGAAGCACCGGCUAACUACGUG